This 63-nucleotide transfer RNA is filed under the name uncultured Paramuribaculum sp. It matches the Rfam family "tRNA", at positions 8 to 63 of the family's 71-position model. Rfam says of the family: Transfer RNA (tRNA) molecules are approximately 80 nucleotides in length. Their secondary structure includes four short double-helical elements and three loops (D, anti-codon, and T loops). Lineage: Bacteria; Pseudomonadati; Bacteroidota; Bacteroidia; Bacteroidales; Muribaculaceae. The record is from RNAcentral.
UAGCUCAGUUGGUUAGAGCGUCGGAUUGUGGUUCCGAAGGUCGUGGGUUCGACCCCCACUGUU